RNAcentral lists this ribosomal RNA (482 nucleotides) under uncultured bacterium. Its description in RNAcentral is "partial 16S ribosomal RNA". It matches the Rfam family "Bacterial small subunit ribosomal RNA", at positions 30 to 507 of the family's 1533-position model. The record is from RNAcentral.
AUUGAACGCUGGCGGCAUGCUUUACACAUGCAAGUCGAACGGUAACAGGCCGCAAGGUGCUGACGAGUGGCGAACGGGUGCGUAAUGCAUCGGAACGUGCCCAGUCGUGGGGGAUAACUACUCGAAAGAGUAGCUAAUACCGCAUACGAUCUAUGGAUGAAAGCGGGGGACCGUAAGGCCUCGCGCGAUUGGAGCGGCCGAUGUCAGAUUAGGUAGUUGGUGGGGUAAAGGCUCACCAAGCCAACGAUCUGUAGCUGGUCUGAGAGGACGACCAGCCACACUGGGACUGAGACACGGCCCAGACUCCUACGGGAGGCAGCAGUGGGGAAUUUUGGACAAUGGGCGCAAGCCUGAUCCAGCAAUGCCGCGUGCAGGAAGAGGGCCUUCGGGUUGUAAACUGCUUUUGUACGGAACGAAACGGCUCUGGUUAAUACCCGGGGCUAAUGACGGUACCGGAAGAAUAAGCACCGGCUAACUACGUG